Molecule: ribosomal RNA, 305 nt
Filed under: uncultured bacterium
Lineage: Bacteria
Description: bacterial SSU rRNA
Rfam family: Bacterial small subunit ribosomal RNA
Source: RNAcentral
GUAGGCCUACGGGACGCAGCAGUGAGGAAUAUUGGUCAAUGGGCGCGAGCCUGAACCAGCCAAGUCGCGUGAGGGAAGACGGUCCUAUGGAUUGUAAACCUCUUUUGUCGGGGAGCAAAGGACGCCACGUGUGGCGUUCCGAGAGUACCCGAAGAAAAAGCAUCGGCUAACUCCGUGCCAGCAGCCGCGGUAAUACGGAGGAUGCGAGCGUUAUCCGGAUUUAUUGGGUUUAAAGGGUGCGCAGGCGGAAGAUCAAGUCAGCGGUAAAAUUGAGAGGCUCAACCUCUUCGAGCCGUUGAAACUGG